AUUGAACGCUGGCGGCAGGCCUAACACAUGCAAGUCGAGCGGAUGAAGGGAGCUUGCUCCUGGAUUCAGCGGCGGACGGGUGAGUAAUGCCUAGGAAUCUGCCUGGUCGUGGGGGAUAACGUCCGGAAACGGGCGCUAAUACCGCAUACGUCCUGAGGGUGAAAGAGGGGGAUCUUCGGACCUCACGCUAUCAGAUGAGCCUAGGUCGGAUUAGCUAGUUGGUGGGGUAAAGGCCUACCAAGGCGACGAUCCGUAACUGGUCUGAGAGGAUGAUCAGUCACACUGGAACUGAGACACGGUCCAGACUCCUACGGGAGGCAGCAGUGGGGAAUAUUGGACAAUGGGCGAAAGCCUGAUCCAGCCAUGCCGCGUGUGUGAAGAAGGUCUUCGGAUUGUAAAGCACUUUAAGUGGGGAGGAAGGGCAGUAAGUUAAUACCUUGCUGUUUUGACGUUACCAACAGAAUAAGCACCGGCUAACUUCGUG
RNAcentral lists this ribosomal RNA (484 nucleotides) under uncultured bacterium. RNAcentral describes it as "partial 16S ribosomal RNA". It matches the Rfam family "Bacterial small subunit ribosomal RNA", at positions 30 to 507 of the family's 1533-position model. The record is from RNAcentral.